RNAcentral lists this ribosomal RNA (496 nucleotides) under uncultured bacterium. RNAcentral describes it as "partial 16S ribosomal RNA". It matches the Rfam family "Bacterial small subunit ribosomal RNA", at positions 29 to 507 of the family's 1533-position model. The record is from RNAcentral.
AUGAACGCUGGCGGCGUGCCUAAUCCAUGCAAGUCGAGCGAACGGACGAGAAGCUUGCUUCUCUGAUGUUAGCGGCGGACGGGUGAGUAACACGUGGAUAACCUACCUAUAAGACUGGGAUAACUUCGGGAAACCGGAGCUAAUACCGGAUAAUAUUUUGAACCGCAUGAUUCAAAAGUGAAAGACGGUCUUGCUGUCACUUAUAGAUGGAUCCGCGCUGCAUUAGCUAGUUGGUAAGGUAACGGCUUACCAAGGCAACGAUGCAUAGCCGACCUGAGAGGGUGAUCGGCCACACUGGAACUGAGACACGGUCCAGACUCCUACGGGAGGCAGCAGUAGGGAAUCUUCCGCAAUGGGCGAAAGCCUGACGGAGCAACGCCGCGUGAGUGAUGAAGGUCUUCGGAUCGUAAAACUCUGUUAUUAGGGAAGAACAUAUGUGUAAGUAACUGUGCACAUCUUGACGGUACCUAAUCAGAAAGCCACGGCUAACUACGUG